This 36-nucleotide transfer RNA is filed under the name Boana sp. 2 ML-2020. RNAcentral describes it as "partial tRNA-Val". Lineage: Eukaryota; Metazoa; Chordata; Amphibia; Anura; Hylidae. The record is from RNAcentral.
CAAAUUGUAGCUUAACCAAAGCCUCUCGCUUACACC